AGCAGCCGCGGUAAUUCCAGCUCCAAUAGCGUAUAUUAAAGUUGUUGCAGUUAAAAAGCUCGUAGUUGAAUUUCGGGAUCAGUUCGCUGGUCGUGCCUCUGGUAUGUACUGGUGUUACUGGUUCCUCCCUUCUGACGAACUGUCAUGUCAUUUAUUUGGUGUGGCAGGGAAUCAGGACUGUUACUUUGAAAAAUUAGAGUGUUUAAAGCAGGCUCGCGCUUGAAUACAUUAG
Molecule: ribosomal RNA, 232 nt
Filed under: uncultured Glomus
Lineage: Eukaryota; Fungi; Glomeromycota; Glomeromycetes; Glomerales; Glomeraceae
Description: partial 18S ribosomal RNA
Rfam family: Eukaryotic small subunit ribosomal RNA
Source: RNAcentral